ACUACAAAAUACUCAUUCAUUAUUUAAACAAUGUGAGUUGUGAAUUUGUUUUUUGCAGUCG
Molecule: microRNA precursor, 61 nt
Filed under: Drosophila mojavensis
Lineage: Eukaryota; Metazoa; Arthropoda; Insecta; Diptera; Drosophilidae
Description: Dmo-Novel-14_pre stem-loop
Source: RNAcentral